This 71-nucleotide transfer RNA is filed under the name Tethya actinia. RNAcentral describes it as "tRNA-Val". It matches the Rfam family "tRNA". Rfam says of the family: Transfer RNA (tRNA) molecules are approximately 80 nucleotides in length. Their secondary structure includes four short double-helical elements and three loops (D, anti-codon, and T loops). Lineage: Eukaryota; Metazoa; Porifera; Demospongiae; Tethyida; Tethyidae. RNAcentral also lists the same sequence under 1 other name. The record is from RNAcentral.
UAGUAUUUAGUUUAAUGGGAAAACUUUGUGUUUACACCACAAAAAAAAAAGUUCAAUUCUUUUAAUACUAA